This is a non-coding RNA of Morus notabilis, 86 nucleotides long. The record is from Rfam. Lineage: Eukaryota; Viridiplantae; Streptophyta; Magnoliopsida; Rosales; Moraceae.
UUGCGAUGAUGAUGUCACAAACUAGUUGAGAGUAUUCUCUGUGUAACUUUGACAUGUAUGUCGAUCCUGAGCGGUUACCUGAGCAA